UCCCGGUCAGGUUAAAAUCACAAUUCAC
Molecule: small RNA, 28 nt
Filed under: Bombyx mori (domestic silkworm)
Lineage: Eukaryota; Metazoa; Arthropoda; Insecta; Lepidoptera; Bombycidae
Description: ovarian small RNA-27326
Source: RNAcentral